UACGAAGGGUGCAAGCGUUACUCGGAAUUACUGGGCGUAAAGCGUGCGUAGGCGGUUCGUUAAGUCCGUUGUGAAAGCCCUGGGCUCAACCUGGGAAUGGCAGUGGAUACUGGCGAGCUAGAGUGUGAUAGAGGAUGGUGGAAUUCCCGGUGUAGCGGUGGAAUGCGUAGAGAUCGGGAAGAACAUCGGUGGCGAAGGCGGUCUGCUGGGCCGUUGCUGACGCUGAGGCGCGACAGCGUGGGGAGCAAACAGG
RNAcentral lists this ribosomal RNA (253 nucleotides) under uncultured bacterium. Its description in RNAcentral is "partial 16S ribosomal RNA". It matches the Rfam family "Bacterial small subunit ribosomal RNA", at positions 524 to 776 of the family's 1533-position model. The record is from RNAcentral.